RNAcentral lists this ribosomal RNA (461 nucleotides) under uncultured bacterium. RNAcentral describes it as "bacterial SSU rRNA". It matches the Rfam family "Bacterial small subunit ribosomal RNA", at positions 28 to 506 of the family's 1533-position model. The record is from RNAcentral.
GACGAACGCUGGCGGCGUGCUUAACACAUGCAAGUCGAGCGAUGAAAUUCCUUCGGGAACGGAUUAGCGGCGGACGGGUGAGUAACACGUGGGUAACCUGCCUCAUAGAGGGGAAUAGCCUUUCGAAACGAAGAUUAAUACCGCAUAAGAUUGUAGUUUCGCAUGAAACAGCAAUUAAAGGAGUAAUCCGCUAUGAGAUGGACCCGCGUCGCAUUAGCUAGUUGGUGAGGUAACGGCUCACCAAGGCGACGAUGCGUAGCCGACCUGAGAGGGUGAUCGGCCACAUUGGGACUGAGACACGGCCCAGACUCCUACGGGAGGCAGCAGUGGGGAAUAUUGCACAAUGGGGGAAACCCUGAUGCAGCAACGCCGCGUGAGUGAUGAAGGUCUUCGGAUUGUAAAACUCUGUCUUUGGGGACGAUAAUGACGGUACCCAAGGAGGAAGCCACGGCUAACUACGU